AAACUCUGGAGAAUCUCUUAAAUGAGUGCCGAAGGUGCAAGGCUCGUGAGGGCCGAAACUCUCAGGCAAAAGGACAGAGGC
This 81-nucleotide non-coding RNA is filed under the name human gut metagenome. RNAcentral describes it as "Glycine riboswitch". It matches the Rfam family "Glycine riboswitch aptamer", at positions 9 to 86 of the family's 94-position model. From Rfam's summary of the family: This family represents the bacterial glycine riboswitch. Glycine riboswitches usually consist of two metabolite-binding aptamers domains with similar structures in tandem. The aptamers cooperatively bind glycine to regulate the expression of downstream genes. The record is from RNAcentral.